This 1113-nucleotide long non-coding RNA is filed under the name Oryctolagus cuniculus (rabbit). RNAcentral's name for it is "lncRNA (ENSOCUG00000031496.1)". Lineage: Eukaryota; Metazoa; Chordata; Mammalia; Lagomorpha; Leporidae. The record is from RNAcentral.
AGGAACAGGCAUAGCAAGGCCCUCUUGCAAGAGCGACUUAUACACAAAGAUGAUGGAAUUGCACAAAAAUCAUCAGUGGGGGAGCCGGGGCCCCGUGGCCCUUGGCAGGCCACAGCCCACCUCUCCCCGCGGCCCUUGCCCAGCUCCGCUGCCCAGUAUCGGGCCACACCGGGUGUUGCGGAUGGAGGGCCGGCGCCACUCGCGCUCAGUCUUACCCGCAAGGGGCCUCGUACUCAGCUGUGGGCGCCGCCGGGUCCAGCUCCGCCUCCUCCUCGGUGUCGGUGUCAGUGUGGGUGUCAGGCACUGCAAAGGAGCGCCCGCAGGGCGUGGUCACGCGUGAGAGUCCACGGGGACCCGACCGCGUGUGCCGGGCGUCCCCGGGCCGCGGGGGCCCCUCCGGCUCCUGGCCUGCAGGGGUGCCUCCUCCCAGGCAAGCAGCACUUGGUGGCUUGGUGUGGUUCUGGGUCUCGGGGGAGAGGGGGCCUGGGUGAGGUGGCCGCCCUUGGGGCCCCGGCCCAUCCCACCCUGGCCAGGACAUUUCCCUCAGGAGGACUCACACUCCGCAACCUGCGCCCGGCGGUAGGGGCAGCCCACAAAGGUGCCGGGGCCCCAGCCGAGCGGGUAGGACUCGCCAGCGGGGUAUGCACCCGCGUAGGCCGCCGCGGUGUCCCCGAGGUAGUAGCAGUUCAUGCCCUCUGGUUCGGGGCAGGCCCAAACGGUCUGCUGGUACGGGGCGUCCACGCCAGGCCUGCAGGGGAGAGGCGUGCAGAGGACAGCGCUGAAGCCUUCCGGUGGGGAACAGGGUCGGGGCCCCGGGGCUGCAGGGGCGUGGGCCGGCCGCCAGGUGCCCAGCCGACCAGCCAACCCGCCUACCCGCCUCGGACCUGCUGGCCACUGUUCCCUCCGCACAGCGGCCCGCCCCCACCCGGCGGCCGGCCAGCCCGGGCCGUGGUGGUGGGUUGCGGUGGGUGUGUCCGGCCCAGGUGGGCCCUGCGAGGGUGGGGGAUCCGGGGCCCCGUGGCCCUUGAGAGGCCACAUGGCCCGCCUCUGCCCGCGGCCCUCCCAGCUCCACUGCCCGGUGUCGGGCCAUGCCGGGUGUCGUGGACGGAGGGC